Carassius gibelio (silver crucian carp) is the source of this 2737-nucleotide long non-coding RNA. RefSeq lists it as uncharacterized. The record is from RefSeq and is a predicted model, not a curated record. The transcript has 5 exons. NCBI's taxonomy places the organism in Eukaryota, Metazoa, Chordata, Actinopteri, Cypriniformes, Cyprinidae.
GUACGGAAAAGAACCCCAACAUGUGCCAAGCAACCGGGCUUAAAGAUCAUAUAUAGGCUAGUGGUGCGCAUCUGCCACGGAACCUAUUGGCAAAUGAGUUUUUCACGAUGCCUGGCGACUGCAAGGAGUGGCUUCGCUUUGGGAAACCGGGGCUGUGGUCACUUGCAGCGCGGACACUGUCCGUCUUUCACCUAUUUAGCCCGAGCCAUUUUCAUUAGCGCGAGGCUGUCUGCGAGCACAACAGGGACGGUUGUAAUCAGCAGCCAUAAACUGUGAAGUGGGAGAACCUAAACGUGACGUCAAUGCCUAGUAACUGACGCAGCCCUAAGAGAGAGAGAGAGAGAGAGAUUCUGCAAGCGUUAAUAUCAUCUUUUGUAUACUGCUCUAAAGACAAAAUAUAUUCCGCUCGCAGUGCGACUGAUUACGAUUGUUUGCGCGCGCGGGUCUGUCUGUGUGUCUCAGUGUGAGUGUGUGCGUGCGUGCGUGCGUGCGUAUGUUUUUUUAUGGGCUGCGAAUCCGUCCCGAGUUUCCAAGCUAAAGUUGCAUGGAUACACGCCGCGUAAGACGCGUAUAAUAAAGAGGAUGGUGUGCAACAUAAAGGAGCAAGGAGAGCGAGACCAACUUGUGCUGAGAAAGGGAACAUUUAAGAAAUAUUUUGCCCAUAAGAGAGAGGGGCACUGAAGCAGUUCGUUUGAAAAAAAAAAUGGAAAAGAAAAAAAAAAAUCACUGCAGCGAUGCAUCGGAGGCGAUUCAGAUGGAGUUGGCGAGGCAAAAUUAAUGUACAUUACAUGCACUCCACGUAACGCUCCUGAGCGAUGUCUUUCCAGGGCUUCCUGUACUGAACAGGACAGAACUUGAGGCAUCCAUCGUGUCAAGGACGAGGGUGAAAUGAACGAUCCCAGACGGUGUUGCUCGUGACGUCACCGGCGUCAAAAUCUGCUGAUGAUUGGAGGUGUAUGCAAAAGUGAGAUGUGAAGCAAACUGACUGUGUUCCUCGUGGAAGGAGAGGGACGGCUGACAGGCAUGGAAGUUGAUGGAGGAAAAAGGAGGGGUUUACAAGGAUAAAAAUCUGGGAUAACGUUACCUUGUAUCCUGCGCACAAGACCAACGUCAACCCAACGUCUGUUAGACUGCUGUACACCUGUAAAUGGAUAUACAGCUAGUUGAUUACUUUGUAGGACCAACAUAACAUCGUCAGGUAUUUGCAAUAUCUGUCUGUAAACUACUUGGGUUUAAUAAAUGAGCCAGGCUGCUUGCGUUGUCACGUGCACAGACGUCUGACACGCAUGAGCUCUGGGACGUAAGGAAAUAUGAAAGUGAUGUAGUACGUAUUUGAGCUUUAAAAAUAAUUGUCUUGCACAUAAAACCAUGUAUAGAUUUGUUGUAAUUAUUUACCUUAAUAAGUGAAACUGAGAUGCGCAUGAACGCUUGUGUUGAGUUGUGUUGCUUUAAUUCUCAAAGACGUGAAGGCAAACACAUACUGAUUUAAUCUUAUUUUCUCUAAUUAAAUUAUAGCCUAUAAGUAGCUUCAAAUGGAUUUGUUGUGACUGUGAUAAUAAGAACGCGUGCGUAACGCGAGCGUCUGCGUCUGUAGACUUGUGUGAAAAUUACAGGCGCGAGUUUCUUUAGCUUCUGUUGCAUUAUAAUUGUUAGGGUUACAUAUUUGCGAGAUCUUGUUUAACAUGUUGAAUGAACAUGUCAGGCGUUUGUCCACUGCACGCUCUGCUGCUGCUGGCGUAUCACUCCCAGGGCCCAAAAGAGCUUAGGACUCAAAUAAUGAUGGGUUUUUAUUAGUUCUUUCGCUAAAUAUGCUUAUUAUAUCGUAUAUAUGUAAAAAGGUUUCAUAAUUUGUGUUUAGGGAGCAUUUUGAACACAGUAAAUGUCAAUUAUGACUUGUUGGUGUUAUCAAAGGGGCAAAUGGGUUGUGUCCUGCAGAAAGUGGGGGAAAUAAAUGUUUAAAUUAAAAAAUAAAGAUUAUAGGCUUCGAGUUAUUCUUAAAAUGUCUGUGGUAGAUCAGUGAGUGUCGAGGACUGAAAGCUGGAAUAUAUCAUGUGUUGGGCUAUGUGAGAGGAAACGUGUGUGUGUAUGUUUGUGUGUGUGUGUGUGUGUGUGUGUGUGUGUGUGUGUGAGUGUGUGUGUGUUAGAAGAACGAGACAGAGAGAGAGAGAGAGUCUGAUAUCGAAAUUGUAUUUUUUAAGGUUUGUCUAACCAAAAUAUAGUUAAGUAAAAUAUAUAGAAUUUGCAUCAGUUAUGUUUUGUAGAAUAAUAAUAAAUAAAAAACUGAUAAUGCACUAUGUAGCCUAUUGGAUUGCUUGUGCCUUUCUUGACUUUUAUUUGUAUUGCUUCAUAAUUAUAGUAUUUUCUGCUUUGCUGUUACUGUAUAUCAUUCAACCCAAAUGUGCUUAACAGUGUGAGCUGAAUUUAGUAAAAUGAGUCAAGUGUGUUUGCUUCAGUGUGGAUGACAUAAGAGUUCUGCAUUUCUGAGUAUUUGAAUGCCAUUUCUGUAUAGUGUGCAGAGACAAAUAUACUGCCUUAACUGUUCGACCCGGACUAUCUGUUUUGCUAUUUCAUUACAUGAAACCAUCUGUACAUGUGGUGUGAGAAAUAUAUGAUGUGAAUAUGUUGCAAAAUCUAAAAGCUUUUGUUGUCCACGUGACAAAGUUAUGAAUCACGUAUUGUGUAAUGAAACUUUGCUUUCUGUAUUCUCAUGUCAGAGAAAAUAAAAAUUUUUGAGUUA